This 468-nucleotide ribosomal RNA is filed under the name uncultured bacterium. RNAcentral's name for it is "partial 16S ribosomal RNA". It matches the Rfam family "Bacterial small subunit ribosomal RNA", at positions 28 to 507 of the family's 1533-position model. The record is from RNAcentral.
GACGAACGCUGGCGGCGUGCUUAACACAUGCAAGUCGAACGGAAAGGCCCUGCUUUCGUGUGGUGCUCGAGUGGCGAACGGGUGAGUAACCCGUGAGUAACCUGCCCUUGACUUUGGGAUAACUUCAGGAAACUGGGGCUAAUACCGGAUAGGAGCUCCUGCUGCAUGGUGGGGGUCGGAAAGCUUGGGCGGUUGGGGAUGGACGUCGGGCUAAUCAGCUUGUUGGUGGGGUAGUGGCCUACCGAGGCUUUGAAGGGUAGCCGGCCUGGGAGGGUGGACGGCGACAUGAGGACUGAGGGACGGACCAGACGCGUACGGGAGGCAGCGGUGGGAAGUAUUACACAAUGGGGGGAAGCGUGAGGAGGCAGCGCCGGGAGCGGGAUGACGGCCAUCGGGUGGUAAAGCGCAUUAGGCUGUGACGAAGCGGGAGUGACGGUAAUAGGUAAAGAAGCACCGGCUAACUACGUG